This 399-nucleotide ribosomal RNA is filed under the name uncultured bacterium. RNAcentral describes it as "bacterial SSU rRNA". It matches the Rfam family "Bacterial small subunit ribosomal RNA", at positions 358 to 773 of the family's 1533-position model. The record is from RNAcentral.
GGAAUAUUGCACAAUGGGCGAAAGCCUGAUGCAGCAACGCCGCGUGUGCGAUGAAAGCCUUCGGGUCGUAAAGCACUUUUCUGGGAGAUGAGAAAGGACAGUAUCCCAGGAAUAAGUCUCGGCUAACUACGUGCCAGCAGCCGCGGUACAACGUAGGAGGCGAGCGUUAUCCGGAUUCACGGGGCGUAAAGCGCGUGCAGGUGGUUCGGUAAGUUAGGCGUGAAAUCUCCCGGCUCAACUGGGAGAGGUCGUCUAAUACUACCGGACUUGAGAGCAGAAGAGGAAGAUGGAAUUCCCGGUGUAGUGGUGAAAUGCGUAGAUAUCGGGAGGAACACCAGUGGCGAAGGCGAUCUUCUGGUCUGUUUCUGACACUCAGACGCGACAGCUAGGGUAGUAAAC